Molecule: ribosomal RNA, 483 nt
Filed under: uncultured bacterium
Lineage: Bacteria
Description: partial 16S ribosomal RNA
Rfam family: Bacterial small subunit ribosomal RNA
Source: RNAcentral
AUUGAACGCUGGCGGCAUGCUUUACACAUGCAAGUCGAACGGCGGCGCGGGCUUCGGCCUGGCGGCGAGUGGCGAACGGGUGAGUAAUGCAUCGGAACGUGCCCAGUAGUGGGGGAUAGCCCGGCGAAAGCCGGAUUAAUACCGCAUACGACCUGAGGGUGAAAGCGGGGGACCGAAAGGCCUCGCGCUAUUGGAGCGGCCGAUGUCGGAUUAGCUAGUUGGUGGGGUAAAGGCUUACCAAGGCGACGAUCCGUAGCUGGUCUGAGAGGACGACCAGCCACACUGGGACUGAGACACGGCCCAGACUCCUACGGGAGGCAGCAGUGGGGAAUUUUGGACAAUGGGGCAACCCUGAUCCAGCCAUGCCGCGUGCGGGAAGAAGGCCUUCGGGUUGUAAACCGCUUUUGUUCGGGAAGAAAUCCUCUGGGCUAAUACCCCGGGGGGAUGACGGUACCGGAAGAAUAAGCACCGGCUAACUACGUG